RNAcentral lists this ribosomal RNA (253 nucleotides) under uncultured bacterium. Its description in RNAcentral is "partial 16S ribosomal RNA". It matches the Rfam family "Bacterial small subunit ribosomal RNA", at positions 524 to 776 of the family's 1533-position model. The record is from RNAcentral.
UACAGAGGGUGCAAACGUUGUUCGGAUUUACUGGGCGUAAAGCGCGUGUAGGCUGCUUCGCAAGUCGGAUGUGAAAGCCCUGGGCUCAACCCAGGAAGUGCAUUCGAAACUGCAGAGCUGGAGUCCUGGAGAGGAAGGCGGAAUUCUCGGUGUAGAGGUGAAAUUCGUAGAUAUCGAGAGGAACACCGGUGGCGAAGGCGGCCUUCUGGACGGUGACUGACGCUGAGACGCGAAAGCGUGGGGAGCAAACAGG